AGAGUUUGAUCAUGGCUCAGAAUCAACGCUGGCGGCGUGCCUAACACAUGCAAGUCGAACGCGAAAGCUCCGCAAGGGGCAAGUAGAGUGGCAAACGGGUGAGUAGCGCGUGGGUGACCUGCCUUCGAGUGGGGGAUAACGUACCGAAAGGGACGCUAAUACCGCAUGACAUCCUGCCUUUCAAGAGGUGGAGAUCAAAG
Molecule: ribosomal RNA, 200 nt
Filed under: uncultured bacterium
Lineage: Bacteria
Description: partial 16S ribosomal RNA
Rfam family: Bacterial small subunit ribosomal RNA
Source: RNAcentral